Molecule: ribosomal RNA, 468 nt
Filed under: uncultured bacterium
Lineage: Bacteria
Description: partial 16S ribosomal RNA
Rfam family: Bacterial small subunit ribosomal RNA
Source: RNAcentral
GACGAACGCUGGCGGCGUGCUUAACACAUGCAAGUCGAACGGAAAGGCCCUGCUUUUGUGGGGUGCUCGAGUGGCGAACGGGUGAGUAACACGUGAGUAACCUGCCCUUGACUUUGGGAUAACUUCAGGAAACUGGGGCUAAUACCGGAUAGGAGCUCCUGCUGCAUGGUGGGGGUUGGAAAGUUUCGGCGGUUGGGGAUGGACUCGCGGCUUAUCAGCUUGUUGGUGGGGUAGUGGCAUACCAAGGCUUUGACGGGUAGCCGGCCUGAGAGGGUGACCGGCCACAUUGGGACUGAGAUACGGCCCAGACUCCUACGGGAGGCAGCAGUGGGGAGUAUUGCACAAUGGGCGGAAGCCUGAUGCAGCAACGCCGCGUGCGGGAUGACGGCCUUCGGGUUGUAAACCGCUUUCGCCUGUGACGAAGCGUGAGUGACGGUAAUGGGUAAAGAAGCACCGGCUAACUACGUG